Molecule: long non-coding RNA, 2578 nt
Organism: Vespa mandarinia (Asian giant hornet)
Lineage: Eukaryota; Metazoa; Arthropoda; Insecta; Hymenoptera; Vespidae
Source: RefSeq, a predicted model, not a curated record
GGAAGGUCUAUGCAAAUUAUUUUGUAAUGCGCGAAAAAUUAAAAAUAAUUUUAAUUCAAAAUUACGAAAAAAAAUUUAAAUAACUUAUACUUUCGAUAAUUUUAUAAUUAUAUAAAUAAUGUAUAAUGAAUAUGGGAUACAAUGGAUCAGUAUUUAAACGUUAGUGCAUUUGCAUUAAUAUUACAUUACUCGUAACACGCGUAAAAUAUAAAAUAAUUUUAACUUAACACUAUGCCGUCCACACGUCUAAUCUAGAUUUUUUCGUGUCGCGCCGGUGGAAGUGACUUAUAUAAUUUCGCUUAUCGCCGGCGGUUUUUCGAGGUUCUUGUUUACUAAUCUUAUCGUCAGUUCCCAUGUCGCAAUUGUGUCUCUCGAUUUUCUCGAAAUUGUGAGGGUAUACAUAUGUAAAUAAGUACAAGAUUUUUUUGUAUUACAUGUUUAUCUAUUUAUUUAUAUUUUGUUGAAAACUUAGUAUUUAUUUUUUAAAUGAAAUGAAGUAAAGCAAUCUCCGAUGUAAAGCGCAUUCUCUGUUUACAUAUUUCAGAUUCAUCUGAAGAUAUUGCCUCAUUUUCCUUUUCUGAAGACGUAAUGUCUUCUAGUUCCUCACAAUCUUAAAAUUCGGAUGGAACAUCAGACAAGAUGUCCACAUACUCAUCACAGUUUUGAAUUUGAAUUGAAUUCUCCACAAUGCAGCCAUUGGUGCUUGAGCAAUAAUUUCCGAAUGGCACCAAGGUGGAGCUACCGGACGUCAUAGUGUUAAUAUUAAAUUCAUUUCAAUUAAUGAUAACAGAGUUGUUGGCUAUACGUAAUAUCAAUAAAAACGAACGAUAGAUUGACUUUGACGAAUAUCGAAACAAUUUUCUUUUGCCUUCCGAAGAGUAAACAUUGAAAUUCGUUCUUUCCAUACAGUUAAACUUAAAUAAAUUAUUAUUUCGAUAAUUUUUGAAUUAUUUAAAGAAUUUGAAACAUACGACAUGGAUUAUAAUUAACUAGAAUUUAAACUAAUAGCAAAUUCAUUUAAACAUUACGUAGUUCCAAAGAAAAAUAUUAAAAAAAAAUCGUGCGUCGAUCGUUUAAUGCCAACAAAAAGAAGGAUCAUUGGAAGGACAAUGCGAGUUUCUACGUCAGUCUGUUUUUGUAUUCCGAGGAGUAAAAGUCGAAAUACACUCUUUCCGUACCGCUACAUUUAAUCAUCUUACAGAUACGACUAUUAUCUAAUUAUAUAAACAGUGUACAAUGUAUGCGAAAUUAUAUAUUUAAGCAACAAUAUAUUCCGUUAAAGAUUGUAUAACUCUUAAGAUUCGUCCAUUAUUGGAGCCGAUGUAGAAUAAAGUAAUGUUUAAAUAGUAAUACAUUAGUUUAAAUAUUAAAAAGGUGGAAGCGAACGAGAAACUUAUAAUAAUUUUAAUAUAAUAUUUCUUUACUUUAAUAAAUAAGAAAUAAUUUUAAUCACGUAGUAGUUGGCGUAAUGUAAACCUAAACACACUUUUUUUUAACUUUCAUGAUUGCCGCAUUAGUUUUCUUUUGUACUCCGAUGAGUGCACACCGUAACUUUCUUAUUAGAAACGCAAAAAUUUAUAAAUUAAUAUUUUCAAUAAUUUCUCAAUUAUUUAAACAAUCUUCAACUUAAAAAUUAAUAAUUUCGAGUUAAUUUUCCCUUGCACUGCGACGAGUAAGGUUUGGAAUUCUGUCUUUUUAUUGACUUGGACGAAUACCGGAUCAGUUCUCCUUUAUGCUUUGACGAGUAAAUAUUAAAAUCCUUUCAGGAUGUCUGCAAGUAUUAACGAAUAUUUGAGAACAUCAUUGCAAUUGCGCGCGAAGCAAUGAUGUAAUCGAAUAUUUGCUAAGAAUAUCAAUAAGUAGAAGCAGUGUUCGUUCGUUCGCGUUUCGCGAUUUAAAGAGCAAAAGUUUUUGUAUCGUCUGCGUGCAAUGCAGUCGUUAGAGUCAAUGUUUGUUCGCAAAGUUUAUUAAUUUUUUAAUAGUCGCACAAACUGUAUUUAUGAAAGACAAUAGAGUUUUGCGAAGUAAACUUAGUAACCGUUCGUUAAAAAAUAACUAUCGCAUAAUAGAGUUAGUGCAUCAUUGAAUAGAUUCUUGAUCAUCUUCUAUGUCGACCUACCUAAUUUUCAAUCACAUACAAAUCAUCUACUCUCAAUUUCGAUCUGAACGAGUGUUUUGGAGCCAUCGUAGAACUUCUUAAGUAUUUUAGAGUGAUAAUCGAUUAGGUUGGGGCACGAACCAAAGAAGAGGCUGUAACCGAAGAGCCCUCCACAAAAUGUGGCUCAAGAGGACAACUAUUAGGUUAUUAAAUUAUUUUCGAAGGUUCACUAGAAACUUUCGAAAAUGGCUCUUAGUCGUAUUUUAAUUUUACCAUGUUGUCACUCAAAUUGCUUUUAUGGUGAUGAGUGUAGGAGUGUAGAUUUAAAAAAACUGAAACGAAGUAACAUUCCGUAAAUAACAUUCUCACAUUGUCACGCGUACGCGAAUAGGAUUAUUUUAUAUUUUAUGCAUUUUUAAUAUUAAACUCGAGAUAUAAAUUUUACACAUUUUCUCUUUUCUAAAAUUCAAUUGAAAUUAU